UACGUAGGUGGCAAGCGUUGUCCGGAUUUACUGGGCGUAAAGGGCGUGCAGGCGGUUUGUUUAGUCUAGGGUGAAAGCUCCCGGCUUAACCGGGGAACUGCAUCUGAUACUGGAUGGCUUGAGUUCGGGAGGGGGAUGCGGAAUUCCAGGUGUAGCGGUGAAAUGCGUAGAUAUCUGGAGGAACACCGGUGGCGAAGGCGGCAUCCUGGACCGACACUGACGCUGAGGAGCGAAAGCCAGGGGAGCAAACGGG
This 253-nucleotide ribosomal RNA is filed under the name uncultured bacterium. Its description in RNAcentral is "partial 16S ribosomal RNA". It matches the Rfam family "Bacterial small subunit ribosomal RNA", at positions 524 to 776 of the family's 1533-position model. The record is from RNAcentral.